This 137-nucleotide transfer RNA is filed under the name Moritella sp. PE36. Its description in RNAcentral is "tRNA-Leu". The record is from RNAcentral. Lineage: Bacteria; Pseudomonadati; Pseudomonadota; Gammaproteobacteria; Alteromonadales; Moritellaceae.
CGGUAAUGUGUUUAAUACUGCGGGCCUAGAAGUUAAGUUAUUAUAACGCAGAAACACGCGACUUAGAUUUUAAUGCGAUGUUAGCCUCUUUAGCUGAAGCUGAAGCGGGUGACGUGGUUCUUUUCCAUGGUUGCUGC